UACGGGGGGGGCAAGCGUUGUUCGGAAUUACUGGGCGUAAAGGGCGUGUAGGUGGCCAACUAAGUCCGACGUGAAAUCCCCAGGCUUAACCUGGGAACUGCGUCGGAUACUGGAUGGCUUGAAUUCGGGAGAGGAAUGCAGAAUUCCAGGUGUAGCGGUGAAAUGCGUAGAUAUCUGGAGGAACACCGGUGGCGAAGGCGGCAUCCUGGACCGGCAUUGACGCUGAGGCGCGAAAGCUAGGGGAGCAAACGGG
RNAcentral lists this ribosomal RNA (253 nucleotides) under uncultured bacterium. RNAcentral's name for it is "partial 16S ribosomal RNA". It matches the Rfam family "Bacterial small subunit ribosomal RNA", at positions 524 to 776 of the family's 1533-position model. The record is from RNAcentral.